Molecule: ribosomal RNA, 478 nt
Filed under: uncultured bacterium
Lineage: Bacteria
Description: partial 16S ribosomal RNA
Rfam family: Bacterial small subunit ribosomal RNA
Source: RNAcentral
GACGAACGCUGGCGGCGUGCUUAACACAUGCAAGUCGAACGGUAAGGCCCUUCGGGGUACACGAGUGGCGAACGGGUGAGUAACACGUGGGUGAUCUGCCCUGCACUUCGGGAUAAGCCUGGGAAACUGGGUCUAAUACCGGAUAGGACUCCUGGCUUCAUGGUUGGGGGUGGAAAGCUUUUGCGGUGUGGGAUGGGCCCGCGGCCUAUCAGCUUGUUGGUGGGGUAAUGGCCUACCAAGGCGACGACGGGUAGCCGGCCUGAGAGGGUGACCGGGCACACUGGGCCUGGGAUACGGCGCAGACUCCUACGGGAGGCAGCAGUGGGGAAUAUUGCACAAUGGGCGCAAGCCUGAUGCAGCGACGCCGCGUGAGGGAUGACGGCCUUCGGGUUGUAAACCUCUUUCAGCACCGACGAAGCGCAAGUGACGGUAGGUGCAGAAGAAGGACCGGCCAACUACGUGCCAGCCGCCGCCGUAA